CUACGUGCCAGCAGCCGCGGUAAUACGGAAGGUCCAGGCGUUAUCCGGAUUUAUUGGGUUUAAAGGGAGUGUAGGCGGUUUGUUAAGCGUGUUGUGAAAUUUAGGUGCUCAACAUUUAACUUGCAGCGCGAACUGUCAGACUUGAGUACACGCAACGUAUGCGGAAUUCAUGGUGUAGCGGUGAAAUGCUUAGAUAUCAUGAAGAACUCCGAUUGCGAAGGCAGCAUACGGGAGUGUAACUGACGCUUAAGCUCGAAGGUGCGGGUAUCGAACAGGAUUAGAUACCCUGGUAGUCCGCACAGUAAACGAUGGAUGCCCGCUGUUAGCGCCUGGCGUUAGCGGCUAAGSGAAAGCAUUAAGCAUCCCACCUGGGGAGUACGCCGGCAACGGUGAAACUCAAAGGAAUUGACGGGGGCCCGCACAAGCGGAGGAACAUGUGGUUUAAUUCGAUGAUACGCGAGGAACCUUACCCGGGCUUGAAUUGCAGAGGAAUUAUUUAGAGAUA
RNAcentral lists this ribosomal RNA (505 nucleotides) under uncultured bacterium. RNAcentral's name for it is "bacterial SSU rRNA". It matches the Rfam family "Bacterial small subunit ribosomal RNA", at positions 501 to 1008 of the family's 1533-position model. The record is from RNAcentral.